AGGUCGGUUAUUAUUUACGAAAUAAUAAUAAAAAAACUCUCUCUCUUUCUUUCAUCAAUUUUUCAAUAUGUUUCAUCUCUUCCUCACUUUAUUUUUUUAACCUAAAAAAAAGUCCCAUUUCUUUUUAGAUCUCAUCUCUUUCUCUCUUUCUCACCAUAUGAUUCUAACCUUAAGGAAAAAUCUGUUUGUCUUCAUGCUUCCCUUGCAGGUGGUCCUUUGUCGAGCCAAACGAUAUAGCCAACAACAAAACGAUGUCUUUUUUUUUUGUAGAGAAAAUCAGAACACUGCGGGUCUAUCUUGUCUUGCCUUAGCUUGCACAUUUAGACACUUACCAUUAUUUAAUGUGUUCUUUUCUUUUAUUUUUCACAUUUGUAAGUGGAUUUAUUUGUCAAAAUUUAUUUUAACUUUUGGGAAUACUUUGUUUGAAAUGUAAUUUUAUUUUAUUAUUUUUU
Long non-coding RNA from Cucumis sativus (cucumber), 452 nucleotides. RefSeq lists it as uncharacterized. The transcript has 2 exons. The record is from RefSeq and is a predicted model, not a curated record. Lineage: Eukaryota; Viridiplantae; Streptophyta; Magnoliopsida; Cucurbitales; Cucurbitaceae.